This 828-nucleotide ribosomal RNA is filed under the name uncultured Bacillota bacterium. Its description in RNAcentral is "bacterial SSU rRNA". It matches the Rfam family "Bacterial small subunit ribosomal RNA", at positions 1 to 799 of the family's 1533-position model. Lineage: Bacteria; Bacillati; Bacillota. The record is from RNAcentral.
AGGAGAGUUUGAUCCUGGCUCAGGACGAACGCUGGGGGGCGUGCUUAACACAUGCAAGUCGAACGAGAGGAAUUGAAAAGCUUGCUUUUUAAUGAAUCCAGUGGCAAACGGGGGAGUAACACGUAAACAACCUGCCUUCAGGAUGGGGACAACAGACGGAAACGACUGCUAAUACCGAAUACCUUCCAAGAGCCGCAUGACACCUGGAAGAAAGGGUGGCCUCUACCUGUAAGCUAUCGCCUGAAGAGGGGUUUGCGUCUGAUUAGGCAGUUGGUGAGGUAACGGCCCACCAAACCUACGAUCAGUAGCCGGUCUGAGAGGAUGAACGGCCACACUGGAACUGAGACACGGUCCAGACUCCUACGGGAGGCAGCAGUGGGGAAUCUUCCGCAAUGGGCGAAAGCCUGACGGAGCAACGCCGCGUGAGUGAUGACGGCCUUCGGGUUGUAAAGCUCUGUGAUCGGGGACGAACGGACUUACUGUUAAUACCAGUAAGUAGUGACGGUACCCGAAUAGCAAGCCACGGCUAACUACGUGCCAGCAGCCGCGGUAAUACGUAGGUGGCAAGCGUUGUCCGGAAUUAUUGGGCGUAAAGCGCGCGCAGGCGGCCUCCUAAGUCCAUCUUAAAAGUGCGGGGCUUAACCCCGUGAUGGGAUGGAAACUGGGAAGCUGGAGUAUCGGAGAGGAAAGUGGAAUUCCUAGUGUAGCGGUGAAAUGCGUAGAGAUUAGGAAGAACACCGGUGGCGAAGGCGACUUUCUGGACGACAACUGACGCUGAGGCGCGAAAGCGUGGGGAGCAAACAGGAUUAGAUACCCUGGUAGUCCCCU